This 501-nucleotide non-coding RNA is filed under the name Pan troglodytes (chimpanzee). The record is from RNAcentral. Lineage: Eukaryota; Metazoa; Chordata; Mammalia; Primates; Hominidae.
CUCCACCUCCCAGUGAUGCCGGCCCGAGGAGAAGCCGCAGGACGCCAGGACGCGGGUGUUGGUGUCGAAGCGGCAGGGGUGGUUGGGCAGGUCCUGGGCCCGCUCGCCGAGGCGCACACUCUUAAGAUCCAGAGAGAGGAUGAGGCGCGGGUUGGCCGUGUCGGGAUCCAAGCGAAAUAGAAUAGAAAACAUCAAAGUGCAUACGUGUAGCAAAGACCUCCAACCCCAGGAAAAUCAGGGCACUUCUCUCCAGUCCCCUUCAGCUCCAGAUCAUGUGAUUCUCCUAGACCCCCCCAGGACUGACACUGUUCUCUAGCUGCUGGUCCUGAUGCCUUAGGAUAAAUGACUCGAGCCCCUGGCUGAGCCAGACUUACCUGGAGAAAGUCAAGGUCAGGCUUUUGAGCUGUCUCCUGGAUCUGGCUGCUGAGCUUGGACAGCUGGGUGAUCUCAGCCCCGAGCUGGGCCAGGUUCUCAUUCUGCUUCUGUGCCACCUCCCGGGAC